Molecule: small RNA, 29 nt
Filed under: Bombyx mori (domestic silkworm)
Lineage: Eukaryota; Metazoa; Arthropoda; Insecta; Lepidoptera; Bombycidae
Description: ovarian small RNA-23683
Source: RNAcentral
UAUCGGGUAUGCUAGCCUGAUGAGGUCGU